Molecule: ribosomal RNA, 256 nt
Filed under: uncultured archaeon
Lineage: Archaea
Description: partial 16S ribosomal RNA
Rfam family: Bacterial small subunit ribosomal RNA
Source: RNAcentral
UAAUACGUAGGGUGCAAGCGUUAAUCGGAAUUACUGGGCGUAAAGCGUGCGCAGGCGGUUCGGAAAGAAGGAUGUGAAAUCCCAGGGCUCAACCUUGGAACUGCAUUCUUAACUACCGAACUAGAGUAUGUCAGAGGGGGGUAGAAUUCCGCGUGUAGCAGUGAAAUGCGUAGAUAUGCGGAGGAAUACCGAUGGCGAAGGCAGCCCCCUGGGAUAAUACUGACGCUCAUGCACGAAAGCGUGGGUAGCAAACAGG